Gadus morhua (Atlantic cod) is the source of this 423-nucleotide long non-coding RNA. RefSeq lists it as uncharacterized. Lineage: Eukaryota; Metazoa; Chordata; Actinopteri; Gadiformes; Gadidae. The record is from RefSeq and is a predicted model, not a curated record. The transcript has 3 exons.
CACACUCACAAGUGUCGUUAAGAAAAAAGCAACGUUAAUUUGUAAAGACCGGAGAAUUACCGGUGGUGGCAACUCUUCCGCUACCCCCCUGACACCGGCGGAGGACCGGAUUGUGGGACUCCUCAGCAAGGCUGACUACGAGGGCAUCGAUGGAGGCUUUGAGACUGGGUUGCCAGUGGACUUCUUGGAGACCACAACUUCAGUCAGUAAAGUUGUUGAAGUCGAUGCUACACAACCGCCUCCUGAAAAGAAAACACGUCUGCUGAAGUCAUCACCAGAAACCCUUGCUCUGCUAGAAAUUGAGAGGGAGAAGCUUCAAUUAGACAGAGAGAGAGUCGCCAUUGAAAGAGAGCGACUCCUCCUUGAGAGGGAAAAAUUUGAAUGGGAGAAGAGUAGGGCCAGAGUGUGCAAAAAAUGUUUAAC